This 3134-nucleotide long non-coding RNA is filed under the name Chlamydomonas reinhardtii. RNAcentral describes it as "long non-coding RNA (CREI_LNC001313)". The record is from RNAcentral. Lineage: Eukaryota; Viridiplantae; Chlorophyta; Chlorophyceae; Chlamydomonadales; Chlamydomonadaceae.
UCGAAGGCGCUUGAUAGCGCACAGCGAACGUGCGUGGUUCGACGUUUAACUUGCAAGAAGCUCAAGGAGCUGAGAAGCCCUCUGUUGCAGUGGCGUGUCUGCCAAGGUCCCGCCAGACUCCCGUGCGUCACCGUAUGUCAUCCCCGCAUCCGAUAACCCCUCCGUCACACACAGAGUACACACACGACAAACACGUAUGCCUUGUCACCUGCCUAGCUAGUGCUCCGGCAUCACCCGAGCAACAGCAGGCAGACCGCAAGACCCACCGGCAGUUACUUGUUGUCGCCACCCGCUACCUUGUACACUUGCGUUCACGACCGCGCGCCACUUCACGUGGUGGCCUUACGAAACCCCCCAAAACACGUUGAUACAAGUCCGCGCAUGCAACGCACUCGCCGCCCGCCUACUUUCCUGUAACCGUCGGCCGCGUACUCGCCCUGUGCCCGCCUGCACAGUUGUUGGUUGCCCGCCAUCCCGUUGCAGGGCCCGACACCUCAACGACGCCUCGCCACCACCGCCACUGCACGUGCCGCCACAACCACCCGAUCCAAACAACCCGACUGCGCCGCCUCUAUCUCCGCCCUACCGACACACAUGCAGUUGGCUACCGCCCUAUCACCGGCUCAGGUGAAGGGCCAUGCGGGCUCGUGGCAGCUAGCAGCUAGCGUGCAGCUGUAUCUGGCAGCAGCUGCAAGGCUACCACGGCCACCACCGCCAAUGCCGCUGCGCCUGCAGUUCCGCCUGCCUCUGCUCCAGCUUGUGCUUCGCAAUCUGGACCUGCGCCGGUGCUACCACCAGCUCGCGCCAGCGCCGCUCGCCGGUAAUGAAGCAAGAAAUGCUGACGCCGGUGGCGCGCCAGGUGACGUGCGCGAACUCGCCACAGGUGCUGACACUUGUGAUGAUGCCAUCGCUGCUGGGGCCGCCGUCCUGCCCGGCGGCAAUCCAGUUGGUGUGUAUCCUGUCCCAGUCCGGGCCGCGCCGCACCACCAGCCCCACAUGCGCGUUGUCGGCCGUGACCACUGCGCCGGGUACCGGCCGGGUACGGGGCAUGUGCACGUCGGGGUAGGGUCCCCGGAACGCACACUCCACCUCUGGCUCCACCUCCGGCUCCGGCUCCGGCUCCGGCUCCGGCUCUGUUGCUGCUGCCUCUGCCGCAGGCUCCUGCUCCGUGCUCGUGCUCCUGCCGUCACGACCCCCAUCCAGCAUGCGCUGCUGCUGCUGCUGAGAGGGAUCUGGCGGAUGCGUACCACAAUCCUGAAGGGUGGCGUGAACGGCGGCAUGGAAGGAGGAUUGUAGCAACUUGUCGCAGGUAGCGGGCUAAGCAGGCUGAAGGCUACAGACAGCAGCAGCAUGCCGACAGCUGCUCGAUGUCGGGGGAGGAUCAGGGUCGGGGCUUGACGCGCAUGCCAUGUAUGGCGAGUGCUGACAGUGCCAUGCUUGACUGUUCCUGUGAUCGAUGCCGUAAGCCUCCGGCGCACGGCUCAAUGACACGGGCCUCACCUCCGGCGGCGGCUGCGGUCCUUGCUCCUGCAGGCUGCGCCUCCAUGCUAGCAGCUCUGACACCUGGCCCUGCACCUCUGACACCUGGCCCUGCAGCUCUGACACCUGGCCCUCCAGGUCGCCCACACGCAGCUGUAGCGACGCAGCGUCGGACGAGGCGGCGGCCUGCUGACCACUCGCCUGCUGAGCGGCAGGCGGCAAGACGCAACGGCGCGCGGUCUCAGGGUCUCCGUGCGGCUUGUAAACAUCCUUGCAACCCCCAUUGCGAACCCACCUGCUCCUCGCUAGGGCGGCGGCAGUCGGGGCCAGGGGCGGGCUCCUCGGCGCCCGCCUUUGCCUGGACAGCACCCCGGCUGGCGGCAGUGCUGCUCCAUGUGCUGCGCCUGGGAGCUGCUGCCACAGGGCAACAGCGGCCGCGGCGGCCCGCGGCAGCAGCAGGAGCGAUGGUGCGAGCCGCGGUCGCCGCCUGAAUGCUCCCGCGCGUGCACCGCUGCUGCAGCCCAAGCAAUGCCAGCCACGCUGGACCGCUCCGCGUGGCACAGCGCAUCCUGCGCAUAUGCAAGGAAAAGCACAAAGGAGAAAUAGCAAGGAGCAAGGACUACAAUUGACGGCGCCGGUUUUCCCGCCAAGCAACGUUGCCUGCGCCCCGGCGCCCACAGUGACGACCGCUUGCCUCAGACAGCCGCGCAACAAAACAUACCUUCAAGCGAAAAACCUUGAGCGAAGGACAGACGCGGCCAGAGGCGGUAUGGGAGCCGGUCGGCGGAGAGGGCUAUUGGCUUCUGGCAGCCGUGCAGCAGCAAGCACGGUCGUUCUGCGUGGGUCAGCUUCGCGGAGCAUAAUCUUAAAGACGUUGCAAGUAGCGGUCUUCCUCGGCAGGCUCAUCAGCAAGAUUGUGUCUUCAGCACGCAUGCAUCGGUACCGGCAACCCCGAACUCGACGCCUCAACUCACAGUCACCCGCACCGCAAACUAGCUACUUCGCCUUGCAAAUUUGCGUCAACCCAUGACAGCUUAUCACAAUGCCGCUACGCACGCAACAGGGCUCACCACGUCUCAGUGCAGGAACUUCAGGGUCCGCAUGGAACCUUAUCCCCAGCGAACACACCAACCCCACACAGCUCCUCCCACAGGGCCGGCUCCAAGCCUGCCGCGCACCACCCCGCCGCCCACUACCCACACGCAGCACACAGAAACCCUAGCUGCCCUCACAUGCCCCCACCCACUAAGACGACGCAACGGACAAGCUGGACAGCUUCUGCCCAGCUGCCUCCGCGGCCGCUCGCGUUUUGUCUGGCUGUAGCCUCGUCGUGCAGGUUAGACCAACAACAACACCCCUGAACAAUACGCACCUGCGGAUGGCUUGAGCAGCAGGGACGCCCGCAGCGGCGGCCGGUGAAGCAAGUCUCGAACGUGCCAGAAGCAGCCCAGUCGAAGGCGCUUGAUAGCGCACAGCGAACGUGCGUGGUUCGACGUUUAACUUGCAAGAAGCUCAAGGAGCUGAGAAGCCCUCUGUUGCAGUGGUGUGUCUGCCAAGGUCCCGCCAGACUCCCGUGCGUCACCGUAUGUCAUCCCCGCAUCCGAUAACCCCUCCGUCACACACAGAGUACACACACGACAAACACGUAUGCCUUG